Long non-coding RNA from Dioscorea cayenensis subsp. rotundata (Guinea yam), 444 nucleotides. RefSeq lists it as uncharacterized. The transcript has 4 exons. Lineage: Eukaryota; Viridiplantae; Streptophyta; Magnoliopsida; Dioscoreales; Dioscoreaceae. The record is from RefSeq and is a predicted model, not a curated record.
GAAUAAAAGAGCUUAUCAAAUGCAAAGGAUUCCAGGUUGCACCUGCUGAACUUGAAGGAUUGCUUCUUUCACACCCCGAGAUAUUAGAUGUUGUCGUCAUCCCAUUUCCGGAUGAUGAAGCUGGUGAGGUUCCUAUAGCUUAUGUUGUUUGCUCUGCUCAGAGUUCACUAACAGAAGAGGAUGUUCAGAAGUUUAUUUUUGAGCAGGUUGCACCGUACAAGAGGCUGAGGCGAGUGACCUUUGUGAAGAGCAUCCCGAAAUCAGCUUCUGGUAAAAUAUUGAGAAGAGAAUUUAUUGCUAUAGUUAAGGAAAAAUUGUAGAGAAGUUUUAUCUUUACUUAAAUUUUAUGGACAACACGAUAUGUCUCUUGUGUUUGUUACUUCGAAAUUAGAUUUACUUUGCAAAACCGUAGAAAGUCAAAGGCAAAAUUGUAAAAUGUUUUUA